Molecule: long non-coding RNA, 357 nt
Filed under: Pelobates cultripes (western spadefoot toad)
Lineage: Eukaryota; Metazoa; Chordata; Amphibia; Anura; Pelobatidae
Source: RNAcentral
AGAAUAUCAUUUUGCCUCUUUAAAAAUCACUGGUAAGACCACAUAUUGAAUAUGCUGUGCAAUUUUGGGCACCUGUUCUAAAGAAGGAUAUUAUGGCACUAGAAAAAGUGCAGAGACGGGCUACAAAAUUAAUAAAAGGAAUGGAAAAUAUCAGCUAUGAAGAAAGGUUAACAAAUUUAAACCUAUUUAGUUUAGGAAAACGUUGCCUGAGAGGGCAUAUGAUAACAUUAUACAAAUAUAUUCGGGGCCAAUACAAACCAUUGUGUGGAAAUCUAUUCACAAACCGGACUUUACAUGGGACACAAGGUCAUGCGUUUAAACUGGAAGAAAGAAGCUUUAGUCUAAGGCAAAGGAAAG